RNAcentral lists this ribosomal RNA (464 nucleotides) under uncultured bacterium. RNAcentral's name for it is "partial 16S ribosomal RNA". It matches the Rfam family "Bacterial small subunit ribosomal RNA", at positions 28 to 507 of the family's 1533-position model. The record is from RNAcentral.
GACGAACGCUGGCGGCGUGCUUAGCACAUGCAAGUCGAACGGAAAGGCCCAGCUUGCUGGGUGCUCGAGUGGCGAACGGGUGAGUAACACGUGGGUGAUCUGCCCCUAACUUCGGGAUAAGCUUGGGAAACUGGGUCUAAUACCGGAUAGGACAAUCGUUUAGUGUCGGUUGUGGAAAGUUUUUUCGGUUAGGGAUGAGCCCGCGGCCUAUCAGCUUGUUGGUGGGGUAAUGGCCUACCAAGGCGUCGACGGGUAGCCGGCCUGAGAGGGUGGACGGCCACAUUGGGACUGAGAUACGGCCCAGACUCCUACGGGAGGCAGCAGUGGGGAAUAUUGCACAAUGGGCGCAAGCCUGAUGCAGCGACGCCGCGUGGGGGAUGACGGCCUUCGGGUUGUAAACCUCUUUCGACAGGGACGAAGCUUUGGUGACGGUACCUGUAUAAGAAGCACCGGCUAACUACGUG